This 118-nucleotide ribosomal RNA is filed under the name Clostridium sp. Lineage: Bacteria; Bacillati; Bacillota; Clostridia; Eubacteriales; Clostridiaceae. RNAcentral also lists the same sequence under 1 other name. The record is from RNAcentral.
UCUGGUGAGUAUACUAUUAGAGGCUACACCCGUAUCCAUUCCGAACACGUAAGUUAAGUUCUAAUAGGCUAUAUAUACUACAUUAAUGAAAAUGUGGGAAAAGUAGUUAUUGCCGGGU